This 1032-nucleotide long non-coding RNA is filed under the name Cavia porcellus (domestic guinea pig). RNAcentral's name for it is "lncRNA (ENSCPOG00000033754.1)". Lineage: Eukaryota; Metazoa; Chordata; Mammalia; Rodentia; Caviidae. The record is from RNAcentral.
AUGCUUUACAUAAUCACUACAAUUGCUGCUAUCAGAAUGGCCCCGAAUAAGUUGGAAAAGAAGCUAAGGAAGGAAGCAAAGAGAAAGAAAACAAUACAAUGGAAAAGAACAGUGUUAAAGAAAAGACAGAAACAGACAACCCUAGACCACUUUUUAGUUCUGAAAAGGUGGGGACCUAAGGAGCCAGAAGCAGGUCCCAGUGGGCCACAGACUCUCCCAAGGAGAGAAAGAGCAGCAGAGAGUCGGAUUCCCAAAGUUCUUAUGAAAGGGGAUCUGCUUCCGAACAAUAACCACCUUCCGUGUCAUCCUCCCUUCCUGCAAGCCAGAGCUGUCAACCUGAAUGUGUACAGUCACCGUCUGCAUGCUUCCACAUUCAAUUUUACGACUUCCAGGAAGGUGAUGGAAUGGUGAACAGCAGAGAAACAGCCUCUCUGCAAAUUGUUGUUCAAAUGUGGGAAUACAGCAAUGUGACGAACAGAAGAGAGAAGUGGGCUCCACAACUCACAAGGACCUGCAGUGAGAACAGAAUCACACGAGGAGAGCAAAGAGAGAGACCUCAGCAAAGGAGGAGAUGGCAAGUGGCACUUUCUCCCUGAGCCCUGACUCACUGCCUGGGAGGGGCGGCUCAGACUUGUGGACAGUGACUCCUGGCAACCCCAGGGGCUCCCACAGAGAAACACACCAGUGGGAAAGAGCAGUGGACAUAGCAGACUGCUGUGGCUGGUGAGUUAUUCAGGCUCAGGCUGAACUCCCUCCCCAAAAGAGGGCAGUUGGCCAGUAGCCACCUUGGAGAGCGGCCAGCUAAACUCAGAACUCUGAGCAGCUGUGGCCUGUCUCCAUUGAGUGUCCCCAGUGUCACUCAACAGAACCAAAUUCAACCCAGCAAGAGGUACAUGCAGUAUUGCAGGCUGAACAAAUCAGGUUCCAGCCUCAAAGCCGGAAACCAGUCUGAACUUCUGUGAAACUAAAGGUGCAGGCUUGCUGGAAUUCCCCACCACCCCACGGUAAACCUACAGAUGGCUUGCUGUGUCA